RNAcentral lists this ribosomal RNA (1496 nucleotides) under metagenome. Its description in RNAcentral is "bacterial LSU rRNA". It matches the Rfam family "Bacterial large subunit ribosomal RNA", at positions 1443 to 2925 of the family's 2925-position model. The record is from RNAcentral.
CCGAUGUGUAGUGCGAUGUGGGGACGGAGAAGGUUAGCUCAGCCGGCAGUUGGCAUCCGCAAGGUGAUGCCGGUUCAAGCCUGUAGUCGUGCCUGGUAGGUAAAUCCGCCGGGCUUAGAUGAGGGGUGAUAACGAGGCGGCUUGCCGCCGAAGUGAGUGAUACCCUGCUUCCAGGAAAAGCCACUAAGCUUCAGCUGCACACGACCGUACCGCAAACCGACACUGGUGCGCGAGAUGAGUAUUCUAAGGCGCUUGAGAGAACUCAGGAGAAGGAACUCGGCAAAUUGACACCGUAACUUCGGAAGAAGGUGUGCCUUUAGUAGGUGAACCUGUACAAGGGGAGCCCAAUGAGGUUGCAAAAAAUCGGUGGCUGCGACUGUUUAUUAAAAACACAGCACUCUGCAAACACGAAAGUGGACGUAUAGGGUGUGACGCCUGCCCGGUGCUGGAAGAUUAAAUGAUGGGGUGCAAGCUCUUGAUUGAAGUCCCAGUAAACGGCGGCCGUAACGAUAACGGUCCUAAGGUAGCGAAAUUCCUUGUCGGGUAAGUUCCGACCUGCACGAAUCGCGUAACGAUGGCCACACUGUCUCCUCCUGAGACUCAGCGAAGUUGAAAUGUUUGUGAUGAUGCAAUCUCCCCGCGGAAAGACGGAAAGACCCCAUGAACCUUUACUGUAGCUUUGUAUUGGACUUUGAACAGAUCUGUGUAGGAUAGGUGGGAGGCUUUGAAGCAGGGUCGCUAGAUCUUGUGGAGCCAACGUUGAAAUACCACCCUGGUGUGUUUGAGGUUCUAACCUAGAUCCAUUAUCUGGAUUGGGGACAGUGCAUGGUAGGCAGUUUGACUGGGGCGGUCUCCUCCCAAAGCGUAACGGAGGAGUUCGAAGGUACGCUAGGUACGGUCGGACAUCGUGCUAAUAGUGCAAUGGCAUAAGCGUGCUUAACUGCGAGACUGACAAGUCGAGCAGAUGCGAGAGCAGGACAUAGUGAUCCGGUGGUUCUGUAUGAAGGGCCAUCGCUCAACGGAUAAAAGGUACUCUGGGGAUAACAGGCUGAUACCGCCCAAGAGUUCAUAUCGACGGCGGUGUUUGGCACCUCGAUGUCGGCUCAUCUCAUCCUGGGGCUGUAGCCGGUCCCAAGGGUAUGGCUGUUCGCCAUUUAAAGAGGUACGUGAGCUGGGUUUAAAACGUCGUGAGACAGUUUGGUCCCUAUCUUCCGUGGGCGCUGCAGAUUUGAGGAAGCCUGCUCCUAGUACGAGAGGACCGGAGUGGACACACCUCUGGUGUAUCGGUUGUCACGCCAGUGGCAUUGCCGAGUAGCUAUGUGUGGAAGAGAUAACCGCUGAAAGCAUCUAAGCGGGAAACUCGUUUCAAGAUUAGAUCUGCCGGGGCCUUGAGCCCCCUAAAGAGUCGUUCAAGACCAGGACGUUGAUAGGUCGGGUGUGGAAGCGCAGUAAUGCGUUAAGCUAACCGAUACUAAUUGCUCGUGCGGCUUGACCCA